This 195-nucleotide small nuclear RNA is filed under the name Manihot esculenta (cassava). Its description in RNAcentral is "U2 spliceosomal RNA". It matches the Rfam family "U2 spliceosomal RNA". Rfam says of the family: U2 is a small nuclear RNA (snRNA) component of the spliceosome (involved in pre-mRNA splicing). Complementary binding between U2 snRNA (in an area lying towards the 5' end but 3' to hairpin I) and the branchpoint sequence (BPS) of the intron results the bulging out of an unpaired adenosine, on the BPS, which initiates a nucleophilic attack at the intronic 5' splice site, thus starting the first of two transesterification reactions that mediate splicing. The record is from Rfam by way of RNAcentral. Lineage: Eukaryota; Viridiplantae; Streptophyta; Magnoliopsida; Malpighiales; Euphorbiaceae.
AUACCUUUCUCGGCCUUUUGGCUAAGAUCAAGUGUAGUAUCUGUUCUUAUCAGUUUAAUAUCUGAUACGUGGGCCAUCGGCUCACAUGAUAUUAAAUUAAUUUUUUUAGGGGAGAGCCCCUUACAGUAGCUUGCUACUGGGGCUCUGGACUGUCGCCCAUGCGUUGCACUACUGCUUGGGCCUGGCGCACCCCAC